Molecule: ribosomal RNA, 1214 nt
Filed under: metagenome
Description: SSU rRNA
Rfam family: Eukaryotic small subunit ribosomal RNA
Source: RNAcentral
GCUCCAAUAGCGUAUAUUAAAGUUGUUGUGGUUAAAAAGCUCGUAGUUGGAUCUCAGUUUGAGUCAGGCGGUCCACUUGCCAGUGGCUACUGCCUGACUGAACACUUUACCGAGUUGUCCUAUGGUGUUCUUCACCGAGCGUCAUAGGCGAUCGGUACGUUUACUUUGACAAAAUUAGAGUGCUCAAAGCAGGCGUAACGCCCGAAUAAUGUUGCAUGGAAUAAUGGAAUAGGACCUCGGUUCUAUUUUGUUGGUCUUCGGAAUCAGGGGUAAUGAUCAAUAGGGACAGACGGGGACAUUCGUAUUGCGGCGCUAGAGGUGAAAUUCUUGGACCGUCGCAAGACGAACUAAAGCGAAAGCAUUUGUCAAGAAUGUUUUCAUUAAUCAAGAACGAAAGUUAGAGGUUCGAAGGCGAUCAGAUACCGCCCUAGUUCUAGCCAUAAACGAUGCCAACCAGUAAUUCGUCUGAGUUCCCUAAAUGACUCGGCGAGGGACUUCCGGGAAACCAAAGUCUUUCGGUUCCAGGGGAAGUAUGGUUGCAAAGCUGAAACUUAAAGAAAUUGACGGAAGGGCACCACCAGGAGUGGAGCCUGCGGCUUAAUUUGACCCAACACGGGAAAACUCACCCGGCCCGGACACUGGAAGGAUUGACAGAUUGAGAGCUCCUUGAUUCAGUGGGUGGUGGUGCAUGGCCGUUCUUAGUUGGUGGAGUGAUUUGUCUGGUUAAUUCCGAUAACGAACGAGACUCUAGCCUACUAAAUAGAUCGUCGGCUUACAAACGCCGGCGAGACUUCUUAGAGGGACAGGCGGUGAUUCAACCGCACGAAACAGAGCAAUAACAGGUCUGUGAUCCCCUUAGAUGUCCGGGGCCGCACGCGCGCUACACUGAAGUGAUCAGCGUGCUUUUUUCAACCUACUCUGUCAAGAGUGGGGAACCCAAUGAACCUUCUUCGUGAUUGGGAUAGGGGAUUGUAAUUAUUCCCCUUGAACGAGGAAUUCCCAGUAAGCGCGAGUCAUAAGCUCGCGUUGAUUACGUCCCUGCCCUUUGUACACACCGCCCGUCGCUACUACCGAUUGAAUGUUUUAGUGAGGUCUUCGGGCUGGCCGGCGCAGCACUCUCGUAGUGCAGCGCUGUGUUUGGAAAGAUGCCCAAACUUGAACAUUUAGAGGAAGUAAAAGUCGUAACAAGGUUUCCGUAGGUGAACCUGCGGAAG